RNAcentral lists this ribosomal RNA (422 nucleotides) under uncultured bacterium. RNAcentral's name for it is "partial 16S ribosomal RNA". It matches the Rfam family "Bacterial small subunit ribosomal RNA", at positions 360 to 774 of the family's 1533-position model. The record is from RNAcentral.
AAUUUUGGACAAUGGGGGAAACCCUGAUCCAGCCAUCCCGCGUGUAUGAUGAAGGCCUUCGGGUUGUAAUGUACUUUUGGCAGAUAAGAACAGGUAUCUCCUAAUACGAGAUACUGCUGACGGUCUCUUCAUAAUAAGCACCGGCUCACUACGUGCCAGCAGCAGCUUUAAUACGUAGGGUGCAAGCGUUAAUCGGAAUUACUGGGCGUAAAGCGUGUGUAGGCGGUUCGGAAAGAAAGAUGUGAAAUCCCAGGGCUCAACCUUGGAACUGCAUUUUUAACUGCCGAGCUAGAGUAUGUCAGAGGGGGGUAGAAUUCCACGUGUAGCAGUGAAAUGCGUAGAUAUGUGGAGGAAUACCGAUGGCGAAGGCAGCCCCCUGGGAUAAUACUGACGCUCAGACACGAAAGCGUGGGGAGCAAACA